GGCGAGGUAGCUCAGGUGGUUAGAGCGUCGGAUUCAUAACCCGGAGGUCGGGAGUUCAAUUCUCCCCUUCGCUACAA
This 77-nucleotide transfer RNA is filed under the name Flavobacteriaceae bacterium. RNAcentral's name for it is "tRNA-Met". It matches the Rfam family "tRNA". From Rfam's summary of the family: Transfer RNA (tRNA) molecules are approximately 80 nucleotides in length. Their secondary structure includes four short double-helical elements and three loops (D, anti-codon, and T loops). Lineage: Bacteria; Pseudomonadati; Bacteroidota; Flavobacteriia; Flavobacteriales; Flavobacteriaceae. The record is from RNAcentral. RNAcentral also lists the same sequence under 1 other name.